GUAAAGUAAAUAAAGAGAACAUAAUUAAAAGACUGCAGAUGCUAGGAAGUACCAUACAAGGCAAGAAAAAAAAUUUUUAAUCUAGCUAUGAACUUUUUAAAUCAAGCAUACUACUAAAUUCUUUAUCUUGUAAGAACAUAUUUGUAAUUUUUUAAGAUUUCUUUCUAAGCAACUGAGUGAAAACAGAAAUAGCCUCAGACAAGAAAUAUUUCACAAAUUGAAAAUAAGCUCAUACCCAUUAUAGAGAAUUUCUUUGGUCUCCUUAGUGACCAACUAACCAAUUAAAUUUAACCUCAGCCUGUCUAUAUGACUAUUGAAUUUUAUGAUUCUACACUUUAAUUUUACUUGUUUGCAUAUAAUUCUUUUUUAAUCUGCUCAAAUGCUGUGCUUUAAGAUAUUUUUGUUAUUUCUUUGGUUUAGCUUGCAUAUUCUUUCUUCCUAUCUAACCAUCUAUCUAUCCAUCCAUCCAACUAUUCAUCCAUGAAGCACUAAGUGCCUAUUUAUAUGUUAAAGAUUAUUCUAGUCUCUGAAGAAGAAACAUUGAUCAAAUAGAUGAUCCAUGUUUUCUUCAAAGGUGUAUAUUGAUGAGAGAGAAAAAUUAAUAAAAACAAACUUGGUUCUCAAUUAAUGCUUAUUUUAGAAAAACAAGAAUGAUUCCAUGCAAUGGAAAAGGCAUGGAUCCUUCUGAUGGGAUGGUUAGAAACCCUGACGUAGAUUGCUUCGGUGUUUUGCUGUUUGCUACCUUUAAAGUGUCUAUCUUUGGUCCAAAUGUUUGCAUCUUCUCAUUCUCAGAUAUGCAUCAACAUUCUCCUGGUCAAGCAAUUUCCUGAAUGAUGCCCUACACAAUAUUGGUUAAUGACAUUUGGGUGACCAUUGUGUUUUAGAUGAUUAGAUGAUAAUUAUAACAAAUAUAUCAGGCCCAAUGUCUUAAUGAAGUUUCUUUUCUCAUACUCUCAGCACACCCGUAUUUAUAAGACUAGUAUAGAGAUAAUCACAGAGGAAUAAAGAACAGAAAACUGCUUUGGUAUUCUUUGAGGAUUUUUGAUCACCAAUUUCAAUAUCACAUUAUUAC
RNAcentral lists this long non-coding RNA (1072 nucleotides) under Marmota monax (woodchuck). Lineage: Eukaryota; Metazoa; Chordata; Mammalia; Rodentia; Sciuridae. The record is from RNAcentral.